RNAcentral lists this ribosomal RNA (215 nucleotides) under uncultured fungus. RNAcentral describes it as "partial small subunit ribosomal RNA". It matches the Rfam family "Eukaryotic small subunit ribosomal RNA", at positions 654 to 864 of the family's 1831-position model. Lineage: Eukaryota; Fungi. The record is from RNAcentral.
GGAUCAAUUUAUUGGCCGUGCUAUUGUACGUACUGAUUUUAUUGGUUCCUACCUUCUGACGAACCAUGAUGUCAUUAAUUUGGUGUCAUGGGGAAUCAGGACUGUUACUUUGAAAAAAUUAGAGUGUUUAAAGCAGGCUCGCGCUUGAAUACAUUAGCAUGGAAUAAUGAAAUAGGACGUUCGAUCCUAUUUUGUUGGUUUCUAGGAUUGACGUA